CUUAUUAAUAAAGUAAAAUUACAAAGAAGAAUAUAAAUUUGAAAUAUUUAUUAAAAUAGAUAAAGACAACUUAGUAAAUUUGAUAAUAAUUAAUUUUAUUAUAUUAGAAAGAACCGAAAUAUUAUAUAUAUUUUUUUAUAAGAUGAUGAAAAAAAAACAAGUUGAAAUCUGGAAGUCAAAAAAAAAAAAGAAAUUAUCACCAUGAACCAUGGCUUCAUCUACCACCAUCAUCAUCCUUCUUGGCUUCAUCCACUCACAUGAAAAUUGGAAAAAGCAAGUCAACUUCAACAAAUUGACAUAUCUAUUAACCUCAAUAAUCCAAAAUUCAUUGCCUAAACCAAAUUUCAACAAAUUGACAAUCUAAAAUCAAGAAGAAAAAAAAGCAGACCCAAAAAAAUAAAAACGCAAACCCAAUUUUUUUUUGCAACUUAGUAGAUUUGAACUUAUAAUUUAUUUUUAGCGUUGCGUUUCUUUCUCACUCAAUCUUCUCUACGUUACCGGAUUUGGUAUGGUGAAGGAAAAUGAUUGUGACAAAAAUUUAUGUAAACUCAUAUCUGAAAUCGAAAC
Molecule: long non-coding RNA, 567 nt
Filed under: Trifolium pratense (red clover)
Lineage: Eukaryota; Viridiplantae; Streptophyta; Magnoliopsida; Fabales; Fabaceae
Description: long non-coding RNA (TPRA_LNC005733)
Source: RNAcentral